RNAcentral lists this ribosomal RNA (592 nucleotides) under uncultured marine eukaryote. RNAcentral describes it as "SSU rRNA". It matches the Rfam family "Eukaryotic small subunit ribosomal RNA", at positions 614 to 1206 of the family's 1831-position model. The record is from RNAcentral.
UGUGGUUAAAAAGCUCGUAGUUGGAUCUCAACAGCCUUGAAGCGGUUAACUUUGUAGUUUUACUGCUUUAUAGGCUGUGCUUUUGCUGGAGGUUUAGGGGUGCUCUUGAUCGAGUGUCUCUGGAUGCCAGCAGGUUUACUUUGAAAAAAUUAGAGUGCUCAAAGCAGGCUAAAAUGCCUGAAUAUUCGUGCAUGGAAUAAUAGAAUAGGAUGUCGAUCCUAUUUUGUUGGUUUUCGGGACUCGACAUAAUGAUAAAUAGGGACAGUCGGGGGCAUUUGUAUUCAAACGACAGAGGUGAAAUUCUUGGACCGUUUGAAGACAAACUACUGCGAAAGCAUUUGCCAAGAAUGUUUUCAUUAAUCAAGAACGAAAGUUAGAGGUUCGAAGGCGAUUAGAUACCGCCCUAGUUCUAACCAUAAACGAUGCCAGCUAGCGAUCUGCCUGCGUUUUUACUGUAGACUGGGCAGGAAGCUUCCGGGAAACCAAAGCAUUUGGGUUCCAGGGGAAGUAUGGUUGCAAAGCUGAAACUUAAAGGAAUUGACGGAAGGGCACCACCAGGAGUGGAGCCUGUGGGCUUAAUUUGACUCAACAC